GUGUGGGCUCAAGAGGAAGCUGGUUUGACCUCCUAUCUUUUGCUCCUCCGCCCCCUAGGGAUAUCCAGAUUACAACCACGUGUAAAGGUGUAGCCUGCUCAAUCGGAAGCUCUGCGAUAGACGAAGUGCUGCAGCUCACCUCCCGUUGCAAGGAUAUGAUAGGUGCCCAGUUGCAGACUGGAGCCGUACUGACUUUCCCCAUAGGCUAUUCCUGUGGGACUUGUCGCCAGACGGCCAUCACUGGGGUAAGAAACGUGGACCUUUACUUGCUAUAAAACUAAGUUUGGGAGAAGCAGUGGUAUCGUGGAGAAACUGGCAGUACCGGUGCUCCUUGUGAUAGUUCUCAUAGCCAGUUCCUCUGCCCAUAAGGAGUCUAAAAGGGCAGGC
RNAcentral lists this long non-coding RNA (387 nucleotides) under Pogona vitticeps (central bearded dragon). RNAcentral's name for it is "lncRNA (ENSPVIG00000000649.1)". Lineage: Eukaryota; Metazoa; Chordata; Lepidosauria; Squamata; Agamidae. The record is from RNAcentral.